RNAcentral lists this unclassified non-coding RNA (253 nucleotides) under uncultured Alphaproteobacteria bacterium. Its description in RNAcentral is "contains 16S-23S intergenic spacer region". It matches the Rfam family "Bacterial small subunit ribosomal RNA", at positions 524 to 776 of the family's 1533-position model. The record is from RNAcentral. Lineage: Bacteria; Pseudomonadati; Pseudomonadota; Alphaproteobacteria.
UACGGGGGGGGCUAGCGUUGCUCGGAAUUACUGGGCGUAAAGGGCGCGUAGGCGGGCAGUCAAGUCAGGCGUGAAAGCCCCGGGCUCAACCUGGGAACUGCGUUUGAAACUGCUUGCCUUGAGUGUCAGAGAGGGUGGUGGAAUUCCCAGUGUAGAGGUAAAAUUCGUAGAUAUGGGGAAGAACACCAGUGGCGAAGACGGCCACCUGGCUGACUACUGACGCUGAGGCGCGAAAGCGUGGGGAGCAAACAGG